GGAUAAGGAUUCGGUUAUGAGAGGAAUUAUCUGGUGUGGUGUCACUGGGAGAUGAUAAUGUGGGCGUACCCAAUAAGAAGAAUGACAUAUCUUAUCAGCUUGUGACGACUGGCCGGCUCAAUAGGCUUAUGACCCUAGGCCCAGGCCUAGGCCACUAGAGUUGAAGGGCCACCAAGUUUCUGUUAGGAUUUCUGUAUACUAGGCCCAGAUCAUACAUAUUUGAUACUGAUAACCCAGCCGCAUGCCAUAAGCGUGAAACCUCAAAGCGUGUGAACAACUAUUGAGUUAUCCAUCGAUAUUAGCGGCGUGAGUAAUGAAAUCGUUCGAUUAUCGGAGGCGUCGUUUGGGUUUCCUAUAUGGAAUCAAGCAAUCAGCGAGCGAUUAUAAUGGCAUCACAAUCUCAAUCAAAGACUCGAAGUAACAGGUAAUAUUUAGCAACGGCUAAUCGACUAUUUUAACUUUUUUACAUUCUAAUCACUAAACAGUCUGAUCGAUUUUGUGAACCCUCAAACAUAAAGUAAAUUCAGUUUGGUGAUUUGUCGAUUUUGCGAUUCGGUUUGAUUGAACCCAUGGAAGACACUCAGUUUGUUUGCGAUUUUGCGAUUUUGCGAAUCAGUUUGGUGCUUUGCGAUUUUGUGAUUCAGGUUAGACAUCCUCUGGUCCUCAUUUGUUAUUUAGGGAAUUAGGGUAUAUUUACCGAUUUGAUUUAAUUUAUUUACUUAGGGAAUUCAGUUUGUAUUUGCCAAUUUAGUUUGUUAUUACGCUUUUAGGGAAUUCGAUUUGUAUUUGCCAAUUCAGUUUGAUUAUCUUUGUUCAUCUCUUAAAUAGAUUCAAAUUUUAGCAAUGGCCAAUCGAAUCCGAACUAAGAGAAAUUAUACACGUAGAAUCUGACAGACAUAUUAAUAUUAAUUUGUAUUAAAAACUCUAAUUCUUUUCUAAAGGCAUAUAUUGCCUAUAGAAUUGUGUUAACCAUUCCUGUAACCGUUGCUACUGCAGAACGUAGCUUUUCCAAUUUGAAACUAGUAAAAAAUUACUUAAGAUUCACAAUGUCACAAGAAAGAUUAAACGGUUUAGCUCUUAUGUCUAUUGAAAAAUAUUUCUUAGAAGAAGUUGAUUACGACAAUUUCAUCAAAUAAUUUGCCUCAAUUAAAGCUGGAAAAAUAAAUUUUAUUUAAACAUAUACUAAAUCUAUAGAAAACAUAUA
This 1204-nucleotide long non-coding RNA is filed under the name Helianthus annuus (common sunflower). RNAcentral's name for it is "hypothetical non coding rna". Lineage: Eukaryota; Viridiplantae; Streptophyta; Magnoliopsida; Asterales; Asteraceae. The record is from RNAcentral.